AUUGAAUAAUUAAUCGUGCAAUUCGGUAGUAUUUAAUACCCUUAUAUUAUGUUUAUUUUUUUCUAGAAAAAAUUUUAUUGUUAUUGUAUAUCUAUAGAUUUAAUAUAUUUUAUAAUAGUUUAUUAGUAAUGUGAGUGAUUAAUUAAUUAAGUUUUUUUAAGUUGAUUUUAUUUAUUGUACCUUGUGUAUCAGGGUUUAUUUAAAUUAUAUAUUUAUAGUUGUUUUUCUCGAUUUUUAAAGAGCUAAAUUAUUAUUAUUAUUAUUAUUAUAUAAAUAUAUUUAAUAUUAUUUAGUAGUGAAAUGUUAGUCGUUUUUUAAGGUAUCUAGUUUCUGAAGAAAUAAAUUUAAUUUAUCAUUAGUUUUAAUUUAUAUAUAUUAAUAUAUUUAUUUUAAUUAUUAGAUAUUCUUUAAAGGAUAAACUUUAAUUUGAAUAUUUUCUAUAAUAUAGAGUGGUUUAUUAUUUAAUAAUUGGGUUUAAAAGUAUCUAAAUUUUAAAUUAUGUUAAAAUUUAAUUUAUGUUGAUAGUUGAUUUGUAUUUAUAUUUAGUUAUUUUAUUUGGACAUAUUAAUUAAUUUGUAAUUAAUAGAUUUUAUGAUGUAAUUAGUAUAGAAAAUUAUUGAUUUAUUAUUUUAAGUUGGUAAUUUAAAAUAAGGAAUUUAGCAAUAUAUUUAUAUUCGUUUGUUUAUCAAAAACAUUUUUUUUAGUUAUGAUUUAAAAUAUAACCUGCCCACUGAAAAUUAUUUAAAGGGCCGCGGUAUUUUGACCGUGCAAAGGUAGCAUAAUCAUUAGUUUCUUAAUUAGGAACUGGUAUGAAUGGUUGGACGAGAUAUAAACUGUCUUUUUUUAAUUAUUUGAAGAAUUUAAUUUUUAGAUAAAAAAGUCUAAAUUUUUUCAUGGGACGAGAAGACCCUAUAGAGUUUUAUAAUUUACAUAAUUUUAUUUUAUGUGAGAAUUAUUUUAAAUUAUAUAAAUUAUUUUGUUGGGGUGACAGUAAGAUUAAAUUAACUCUUAUUAAUUAAUUAUAUUUAUUUAUAAAUUUAUGAUCCAUUAUUAUUGAUUAUAAGAUAAAAUUACCUUAGGGAUAACAGCGUAAUUUUUUUGGAAAGUUCAUAUUAAUAAAGAAGAUUGCGACCUCGAUGUUGAAUUAAGAUAAAUUAUAAAUGUAGAAGUUUAUAUAAUUAGGUCUGUUCGACCUUUAAAAUCUUACAUGAUUUGAGUUCAAACCGGUGUAAGCCAGGUUGGUUUCUAUCUAUGAAAAGUGAAGAUAUUUUAGUACGAGAGGACCAAAUAUUUUAAAUAAUUUAUUGAAUUGAUUACUAAUAAACUACUUUGGCAGAUUAGUGCAAUGGAUUUAGAAUUUAUAAAUG
This 1367-nucleotide ribosomal RNA is filed under the name Arenivaga sp. B097. RNAcentral describes it as "16S ribosomal RNA". The stretch from base 1081 to 1240 matches the Rfam family "Archaeal large subunit ribosomal RNA", at positions 2542 to 2701 of the family's 2987-position model. The record is from RNAcentral. Lineage: Eukaryota; Metazoa; Arthropoda; Insecta; Blattodea; Corydiidae.